RNAcentral lists this long non-coding RNA (321 nucleotides) under Dromaius novaehollandiae (emu). RNAcentral's name for it is "lncRNA (ENSDNVG00000017287.1)". Lineage: Eukaryota; Metazoa; Chordata; Aves; Casuariiformes; Dromaiidae. The record is from RNAcentral.
CUCCCUCCCGUUUUAACCAUACUCCUGUACUAUGAUGCAGGAUAAGGACCGCAAGGAGGGAAGAGAGGAUUUGGGGUUCUCRCCAUCGCGGAACGACUAAGGCAGGCUGUGAGCAGGCUCCUCGCUGGCGAUACUGGACACAGCUCGCUGCAACGCUGCUUUUCCACCCGCUGACUGUCUGCCCCUCUCUGCCAGCCAAACUGGUGCUUAAUUGAAUCCACAGUGUGAUCUGCUGGCUGUGUUYGGUGGACGGCGCGGCUCGCUGCAGGUGUAGGGGGGAAGGUGAGCCUUUGGUGCAAAGCUCUGCUGCUUCGGUUCCCC